GAUGAACGCUAGCGGCAGGCUUAACACAUGCAAGUCGAGGGGUAGAAGCAGCUUGCUGCUUUGAGACCGGCGCACGGGUGCGUAACGCGUAUGCAAUCUACCUUUUACAGAGGGAUAGCCCAGAGAAAUUUGGAUUAAUACCUCAUAGUAUGUGAGAAUCGCAUGGUUUUCACAUUAAAGUUCCAACGGUAAAAGAUGAGCAUGCGUCCCAUUAGCUAGAUGGUAAGGUAACGGCUUACCAUGGCGACGAUGGGUAGGGGUCCUGAGAGGGGAGAUCCCCCACACUGGUACUGAGACACGGACCCGACUCCUACGGGAGGCAGCAGUAAGGAAUAUUGGACAAUGGAGGGAACUCUGAUCCAGCCAUGCCGCGUGAAGGAUGAAGGCGCUCAGCGUUGUAAACUUCUUUGGAUGGGAACAAUAACUUCUACGUGUAGGAGCUUGAGGGUACCAUCAGAAUAAGCACCGGNUAACUCCGUGCCAGCAG
Molecule: ribosomal RNA, 487 nt
Filed under: uncultured bacterium
Lineage: Bacteria
Description: bacterial SSU rRNA
Rfam family: Bacterial small subunit ribosomal RNA
Source: RNAcentral